GACGAACGCUGGCGGCGUGCUUAACACAUGCAAGUCGAGCGGUAAGGCCCCUUCGGGGGUACACGAGCGGCGAACGGGUGAGUAACACGUGAGCAAUCUGCCCUUCACUUUGGGAUAACUCUGGGAAACGAGAGCUAAUACCGAAUACGACCACUUCAGGCAUCUGAUGGUGGUGGAAAGUUCCGGCGGUGAAGGAUGAGCUCGCGGCCUAUCAGCUAGUUGGUGGAGUAACGGCCCACCAAGGCUUCGACGGGUAGCCGGCCUGAGAGGGUGACCGGCCACACUGGGACUGAGACACGGCCCAGACUCCUACGGGAGGCAGCAGUGGGGAAUAUUGGACAAUGGGCGAAAGCCUGAUCCAGCAGCGCCGCGUGAGGGAUGACGGCCUUCGGUUGUAAACCUCUUCAGUAGGACGAAGCGCAAGUGACGGUACCUACAGAAGAAGCACCGGCCAACUAACGUGCCAGCAGCCG
RNAcentral lists this ribosomal RNA (473 nucleotides) under uncultured bacterium. RNAcentral describes it as "bacterial SSU rRNA". It matches the Rfam family "Bacterial small subunit ribosomal RNA", at positions 28 to 517 of the family's 1533-position model. The record is from RNAcentral.